Molecule: long non-coding RNA, 1230 nt
Filed under: Monodelphis domestica (gray short-tailed opossum)
Lineage: Eukaryota; Metazoa; Chordata; Mammalia; Didelphimorphia; Didelphidae
Description: lncRNA (ENSMODG00000036702.1)
Source: RNAcentral
CCAUUAGUACCUUUAUGCAAAGCUAGGAAAAAGAAAGAAAGAAAAGAAGGAAGGAAGGAAGGAAGGAAGGAAGAGAAAGAAAGAAAGAAAGAAAGAAAGAAAGAAAGAAAGAAAGAAAGAAAGAAAGAAAGAAAGAAAGAAAGAAAGAAAGAAAGAGAAAGAAAGAGAAAGAAAAGAGGGGAAGGAAGGAAGGAAGGAAGGAAGGAAGGAAGGAAGGAAGGAAGGAAGGAAGGAAGGGAGAAAGAAAGAAAAGAGGGAAAGAAAGAAAGAAAGAAAGAAAGGAAGGAAGAGAAAGAAAGAAAGAAAGAAAGAAAGAAAGAAAGAAAGAAAGAAAGAAAGAAAGAAAGAAAGAAAGAAAGAAAGAAAGAAAGAAAGAAAGAAAGAAAGAAAGAAAGAAAGAAAGAAAAGAGGGGAAGGAAGGAAGGAAGGAAGGAAGGAAGGAAGAAAGAAAGAAAGAAAGAAAGAAAGAAAGAAAGAAAGAAAGAAAGAAAGAAAGAAAGAAAGAAAGAAAGAAAGAAAGAAAGAAAGAAAGAAAGAAAGAAAGAAAGAAAGAAAGAAAGAAAGAAAGAGGCAAUUCAUAAUAAAGUGACUUAUCUCCUUACAGAAAUGGUUUCUGGAGGUCAAUUUUAGAAGAGCAGAAAACUCAUAAUGAAAAGGAAGAGAUAUGUGAAAUAUAUAUAUACAAUAAUUACAAAGUAAUGGGGUGGGGCUAGCAUCUGGGAAGCCAAGCUUCAAGCAGUAGGAGACUUUGGGGAUGAGUUUUUAAGGAAACUAAGAAUUCUAAGGGUCAAGCUAAAGAGGCAAUCCUUUCUAGACAUGUGGAAAGCCUGUGCAAAGACAUCAAGAAGGAAUUUUAUAUGAGGAAGAGCAAAUGGGCAACUUCAACUGAACUAUAGAGUACCUUAGAUAAAGAAAUGUAAAACAAACCUAAAAAAAUUAGGCAGAUCCUGAUCACGAGGGACUUUUAAUACCAAAUGGAGAAAUUUAUAUUUUAUCCUAGCCAUAAAUAAUGUCACUGGAGAUUUUAGAGCAAGGAAGUGUCAUGGUCAGACACACCUGUGCUUUAGGAAUAUCAAUUCAGAUACAGGGAGGCCAAUUAGGAAGUUAUUGUAAUAGUCUAGACACAAAAUGAUGAGGAUAUAAAGUAGACUGCUGGCCAUGUGAGUGGUGAAAAAGGGGUUGUUGCAAAAGAUAUAACGGAACCAAUAAAACAUCACUGCUACUUUCUCA